This is a long non-coding RNA of Austrofundulus limnaeus, 532 nucleotides long. RefSeq lists it as uncharacterized. NCBI's taxonomy places the organism in Eukaryota, Metazoa, Chordata, Actinopteri, Cyprinodontiformes, Rivulidae. The record is from RefSeq and is a predicted model, not a curated record. The transcript has 2 exons.
UCCUUUCCCCCCCCCACUUUGUAACUUUUUGCGUGAUGUCAGACUGGUUAAAACCCGUUCCUUCACCAAAGAGGAAGAACAGAGAGGGAAUGACACUGACCAUUUUCACAUGCAACUGAAACUCCAUAAGAAGGACUAAAAAUAAGGACCAAACAGCAACACUUCCAACAGUGCAAAGCAUAAACUCAGGCUCUCUUCCACCUGCUCCCUACGCUCACAGCAGACUACAAUGUCAUCCGCAAACAUCAAAGUUCACAGAGACUCCUGCCUGACCUCAACUGUCGGAGUGUUCAGAGGUCCGGCUGACGCUGUGGUGAAGACGCAGGGUGCUCGUUCUGGUUUACACUUUCAUAAGAAAAUGGAUAAUUCUUAAAUCUUAGAACUAAUCCUCCUUUUUUCCUUACUGUUCUUAAUCUUAAAACCUUGCCGUAAGUUUAAUGUGCCUGUAAACAUCUGGUUUAUCAAGAUCUAAACCUAAAGUUUAUUAUUCUUUCUGAGUUGUCAUACUUACAUAAAUUAUUACGGACGCCUA